CAACUGGAGAGUUUGAUCCUGGCUCAGAACGAACGCUGGUGGCGUGCUUAACACAUGCAAGUCGAACGAGAAAGUUUCCUUCGGGAAAUUAGUAAAGUGGCGCAAGGGUGAGUAUCACGUGAAUAAUCUGCCCUCGAGAUCGGGAUAACAUGGUGAAAACUAUGCUAAUACCGGAUAAGACCACAUUUCAUAAGAAAUGCGGUAAAAGGAGUCUCAAUCUUCACUCGAGGAUGAGUUCGCGCAACAUUAGCUUGUUGGUGAGAUAAAAGCUCACCAAGGCUACGAUGUUUAGCCGGCCUGAGAGGGUGAACGGCCACACUGGAACUGAGACACGGUCCAGACUCCUACGGGAGGCAGCAGUGGGGAAUAUUGCGCAAUGGGCGAAAGCCUGACGCAGCAACGCCG
Molecule: ribosomal RNA, 405 nt
Filed under: Nitrospinaceae bacterium
Lineage: Bacteria; Pseudomonadati; Nitrospinota; Nitrospinia; Nitrospinales; Nitrospinaceae
Description: bacterial SSU rRNA
Rfam family: Bacterial small subunit ribosomal RNA
Source: RNAcentral